UACGUAGGUGGCAAGCGUUGUCCGGAAUUAUUGGGCGUAAAGCGCGCGCAGGCGGGAUAUCAAGUCUAUCUUAAAAGUUCUGAGCUUAACUCAGUGAGGGGAUAGAAACUGGUAUUCUUGAGUAUCGGAGAGGAAAGUGGAAUUCCCAGUGUAGCGGUGAAAUGCGUAGAUAUUGGGAGGAACACCAGUGGCGAAGGCGACUUUCUGGACGAUGUCUGACGCUGAGGCGCGAAAGCCAGGGAAGUGAACGGGAUUAGAUA
Molecule: ribosomal RNA, 260 nt
Filed under: uncultured bacterium
Lineage: Bacteria
Description: partial 16S ribosomal RNA
Rfam family: Bacterial small subunit ribosomal RNA
Source: RNAcentral